This 163-nucleotide unclassified non-coding RNA is filed under the name uncultured fungus. RNAcentral describes it as "sequence contains ITS1". The record is from RNAcentral. Lineage: Eukaryota; Fungi.
ACAAUCUAUGGAUUUCAUUUCAUAAACCCAAUCUGUGUAUUUGUCCUUGUUGCUUCCGCAAGUCCGACAUUAUCAUCGGCCCUCGCUCGUGGGGGAGUUUGCGGGAGGAUACCUCAUCAUCUGCCUUAUUCGUGUCGUCUGAAAUCUUGCAUUGCAAUUGUUA